CUCUGAUUUCUUCAGUCAGCCUUUCAUCUGCUGUGAAGGCACUUGAAUGUGUCACCAAUGUGAUGCAAGUUAAAGGGAACAGUUGAAUUCUACCUUAUAAUUGUUUAAAGAACAGUUAUCCUGCAGCAUAUUCCCUUUGGGGAUGCAUUCUAAUGUCCUAGAGUGUGCUGAAAGCUUGUUUGAAAUGGAUCUCUGUCUUUUGCAACUUGAACCUUGAGUAAUAGUGACAGUACUACUAGUGGUGAAUGUGACAAAUUCCAAUGCACAGGAUUUGGGGAAGUUGCUGUGUAAGAAGAAUAUACUUCAUGAAGCCACCAUGGGAGGAAGAAAGCAUAAGGAAGCCUGCACAUGGAUUUUUCCAGACUCCACAUACUGUAUAUCCUUCCAACAUUGCUGUAAUAAGUCUUAGC
Molecule: long non-coding RNA, 410 nt
Organism: Canis lupus familiaris (dog)
Lineage: Eukaryota; Metazoa; Chordata; Mammalia; Carnivora; Canidae
Exons: 4
Source: RefSeq, a predicted model, not a curated record